RNAcentral lists this small nucleolar RNA (71 nucleotides) under Microtus ochrogaster (prairie vole). RNAcentral's name for it is "Small nucleolar RNA SNORD70 (ENSMOCG00000009881.1)". Lineage: Eukaryota; Metazoa; Chordata; Mammalia; Rodentia; Cricetidae. The record is from RNAcentral.
UGUGAAUGUUGUAUUUCUUUUGAAACUGAAUCUAAGUUACUUAGCAAAAAUUUGCCACUACCACUGAGACA